Molecule: long non-coding RNA, 1068 nt
Filed under: Chloebia gouldiae (Gouldian finch)
Lineage: Eukaryota; Metazoa; Chordata; Aves; Passeriformes; Passeridae
Description: Erythrura gouldiae (Gouldian finch) lncRNA (ENSEGOG00005001402.1)
Source: RNAcentral
AAUAAAAUGUAAGUGAUAUUCUUUAGCACUGAACAGCACUUACAAAAGAAGCAGUGUGCUGCAUUUCCUUCUCGGGUAGGUUAACUUGCCCCUUACUGCUCUACUUACCUGUUAGGCUGGUGGCUAACUUUGUAUAAUGUGAAAUCCAAAGUGAGGGCAAGAACCUUAACACUUUCAAGCUGAGAAGGGUAUCCAGAUGAAUCAGUGACUAGAAAAGUUCAAAGGAAUUAAGUAACUAUCCUAUGACACCUUAAAGUAGCCCAGACAAAUUAAGUGCCUCAGAUGCAUAUGGAUACUGAUCAGUAAUUAAAAAAAAACAGUUUAGAUGUAUGUUCCGUUUCUAUUGUUAGGAUUAACUUUGAAGGUCACAACCCCGUUUUUACUACUGAAUCUCACAUUUGUGAGGCACAACUUCCCUUGAACUUUCCACGUUUGCCAAAAAGAUUGCAUUUAUCUGCUUAUUUUCUAAUUUUAUUCCUUAUUACAACCUAUGCUUACUAGGUAGUAGCUUAGUCUCCUUAAAGCCCCAUAAAAAUAGGCCCUAUUUUGUGGUUUUCCACUUCUCUAGUACAAAGUAGUAUUUAUCAACCAAAUCUGUUUGCUCUUUAUUCUGCCCCUGACAGACAGCACUGAUGUAGGAGGAGUUUUGACCAUCUUGAAGGCAGAUUACAGCAAAUACAUCACUGGAUUAACCAUUGCAGAGUACCCACCCAAACCCUCUGAAAGCAAACAUGAGCAACAUAAUGUUUUUCCUGUCAUUGCAUUGUGUCCUUUACCUACAGACUAAAUAGUUCUCUUCAUAAUCAGUCUCAACAUUGGUUAUUUUUGUGGUUGCAUCAUAUUUGAUCAUAUGCACUUUUUUUCUUUUCAAUCACAGUAAACUUCUGUAACAGAGAGCAUCUGAACUUGAGUCCUGAAGUCUUCAGUUAUAAAACACUCUGGCUAACCACCUGUGCCCAAUCACUCACAAAACCAGGAGUUGUGGCUGUGCUCCCUGGGCAGUGUUUGUCUUGCAGAAGCAGUACUGCUAGAGAAACCAUCAAGUCUGUGUCUUGUGCUAUGUGGAAG